Molecule: ribosomal RNA, 1524 nt
Filed under: Escherichia coli
Lineage: Bacteria; Pseudomonadati; Pseudomonadota; Gammaproteobacteria; Enterobacterales; Enterobacteriaceae
Description: partial 23S ribosomal RNA
Rfam family: Bacterial large subunit ribosomal RNA
Source: RNAcentral
CGAAUGCUGACAUAAGUAACGAUAAAGCGGGUGAAAAGCCCGCUCGCCGGAAGACCAAGGGUUCCUGUCCAACGUUAAUCGGGGCAGGGUGAGUCGACCCCUAAGGCGAGGCCGAAAGGCGUAGUCGAUGGGAAACAGGUUAAUAUUCCUGUACUUGGUGUUACUGCGAAGGGGGGACGGAGAAGGCUAUGUUGGCCGGGCGACGGUUGUCCCGGUUUAAGCGUGUAGGCUGGUUUUCCAGGCAAAUCCGGAAAAUCAAGGCUGAGGCGUGAUGACGAGGCACUACGGUGCUGAAGCAACAAAUGCCCUGCUUCCAGGAAAAGCCUCUAAGCAUCAGGUAACAUCAAAUCGUACCCCAAACCGACACAGGUGGUCAGGUAGAGAAUACCAAGGCGCUUGAGAGAACUCGGGUGAAGGAACUAGGCAAAAUGGUGCCGUAACUUCGGGAGAAGGCACGCUGAUAUGUAGGUGAAGCGACUUGCUCGUGGAGCUGAAAUCAGUCGAAGAUACCAGCUGGCUGCAACUGUUUAUUAAAAACACAGCACUGUGCAAACACGAAAGUGGACGUAUACGGUGUGACGCCUGCCCGGUGCCGGAAGGUUAAUUGAUGGGGUUAGCGGUAACGCGAAGCUCUUGAUCGAAGCCCCGGUAAACGGCGGCCGUAACUAUAACGGUCCUAAGGUAGCGAAAUUCCUUGUCGGGUAAGUUCCGACCUGCACGAAUGGCGUAAUGAUGGCCAGGCUGUCUCCACCCGAGACUCAGUGAAAUUGAACUCGCUGUGAAGAUGCAGUGUACCCGCGGCAAGACGGAAAGACCCCGUGAACCUUUACUAUAGCUUGACACUGAACAUUGAGCCUUGAUGUGUAGGAUAGGUGGGAGGCUUUGAAGUGUGGACGCCAGUCUGCAUGGAGCCGACCUUGAAAUACCACCCUUUAAUGUUUGAUGUUCUAACGUUGACCCGUAAUCCGGGUUGCGGACAGUGUCUGGUGGGUAGUUUGACUGGGGCGGUCUCCUCCUAAAGAGUAACGGAGGAGCACGAAGGUUGGCUAAUCCUGGUCGGACAUCAGGAGGUUAGUGCAAUGGCAUAAGCCAGCUUGACUGCGAGCGUGACGGCGCGAGCAGGUGCGAAAGCAGGUCAUAGUGAUCCGGUGGUUCUGAAUGGAAGGGCCAUCGCUCAACGGAUAAAAGGUACUCCGGGGAUAACAGGCUGAUACCGCCCAAGAGUUCAUAUCGACGGCGGUGUUUGGCACCUCGAUGUCGGCUCAUCACAUCCUGGGGCUGAAGUAGGUCCCAAGGGUAUGGCUGUUCGCCAUUUAAAGUGGUACGCGAGCUGGGUUUAGAACGUCGUGAGACAGUUCGGUCCCUAUCUGCCGUGGGCGCUGGAGAACUGAGGGGGGCUGCUCCUAGUACGAGAGGACCGGAGUGGACGCAUCACUGGUGUUCGGGUUGUCAUGCCAAUGGCACUGCCCGGUAGCUAAAUGCGGAAGAGAUAAGUGCUGAAAGCAUCUAAGCACGAAACUUGCC